AGUGCAGGGCUGUGAGCCCAGACACCGAUGAAUGACCCUCUUCUGCCAUAUAGACACAGGACACACACUCCUUUUGAAGGAAACUGCUGUGAGCCUUGAAUUCAGUGUAUUUCCCCAAGCCCUGUACUGGCACUGCAUGAACCGCAGGAACACAGGCUGUUUGAGUGCCAGCCAAAUCCUCAUUAACCCACUGACUAUUCCAAUCACAUACUGACCAACAUGUCCAAAAAGGUCAAGGAAAAUAAAGGUCAGGAGAGGGUGGUGAUGUCUGCUGGUGAUGUAAACCUGUGCCCUCACAGUGCUGCUGCAAUUUCAUCCCUGCACCUGAUUCAAAAAUACACCAACAGGUCAUCACUUUUAUUUCCAUGUCUAAAGCUUGGUGAAGUUUUGAAAUAGCUUGACACAGCUUCCCUACCAGAAAAGCAGGAAAGGCUGUUGGAGGAUGGUCUUUGUGGAUAAAACCAACACCGAAUUCCUCUGGUUUGAUUUUGCACAGAUGCUGGUACAAAACACAAGAGUUCAAGUAAUCUAUCUGAAGGCAAUUCUUUACAACUCUAAGCACCCCAGAGAGUCAAUGAGUUCUUAAUUUUACCAUCAGACAGAUAGUUUGUCAAAUUCCUUUGCUAUGUCUUGUACCAAAUAGAGAAUAUCUGCUCUGAUUACCAGUGAAGAGCUCUCAGAUGUUAGUAUAGCGUGUAAUUAACUACAGCCUGUCUUUGUCCUCAACUCAUUUUUCCAAUAAAGCAACAUGUUCUUCAGCAGUUUAUUACUCAGCUGUAAGUUGCUAAUG
Long non-coding RNA from Motacilla alba alba, 790 nucleotides. RefSeq lists it as uncharacterized. NCBI's taxonomy places the organism in Eukaryota, Metazoa, Chordata, Aves, Passeriformes, Motacillidae. The transcript is spliced from 3 exons. The record is from RefSeq and is a predicted model, not a curated record.